CAAACCAAAGCUGGCGACCGGCGCACGGGUGAGUAACACGUAUCCAACCUGCCUCAUACUCGGGGAUAGCCUUUCGAAAGAAAGAUUAAUAUCCGAUAGCAUAUAUUUCCCGCAUGGGUUUUAUAUUAAAGAAAUUCGGUAUGAGAUGGGGAUGCGUUCCAUUAGUUUGUUGGGGGGGUAACGGCCACCAAGACUACGAUGGAUAGGGGUUCUGAGAGGAAGGUCCCCCACAUUGGAACUGAGACACGGUCCAA
RNAcentral lists this ribosomal RNA (254 nucleotides) under uncultured bacterium. RNAcentral describes it as "partial 16S ribosomal RNA". It matches the Rfam family "Bacterial small subunit ribosomal RNA", at positions 74 to 334 of the family's 1533-position model. The record is from RNAcentral.